RNAcentral lists this ribosomal RNA (453 nucleotides) under uncultured Bacteroidota bacterium. RNAcentral's name for it is "bacterial SSU rRNA". It matches the Rfam family "Bacterial small subunit ribosomal RNA", at positions 51 to 498 of the family's 1533-position model. The record is from RNAcentral. Lineage: Bacteria; Pseudomonadati; Bacteroidota.
ACACAUGCAAGUGAACGGUAACAGAUCUCGCUUGCGAGAUGCUGACGAGUGGCGCACGGGUGAGUAACGCGUAUGCAAUCUACCUUUAACUGAGGAAUAGCCCAGAGAAAUUUGGAUUAAUACCUCAUAGUAUUAUUUAUAGGCAUCUAUAUUAUAAUUAAAACUUCGGUGGUUAAAGAUGAGCAUGCGUCCUAUUAGCUUGUUGGUAAGGUAAAAGCUUACCAAGGCUACGAUAGGUAGGGGGCCUGAGAGGGUGACCCCCCACACUGGUACUGAGACACGGACCAGACUCCUACGGGAGGCAGCAGUGAGGAAUAUUGCGCAAUGGAGGAAACUCUGACGCAGCCAUGCCGCGUGCAGGAUGAAUGCCCUAUGGGUUGUAAACUGCUUUUCUGCAAGAAGAAACCUUAGUACGUGUACUAAGUUGACGGUACUGCAGGAAAAGCACCGGCU